AAUUCCUACGGUGCGCAGCAGUUAUUACUCUUGUUCCCUUUUCUCGAUCCUGAACCAGCCAAGUAGCGUGAAGGAUGACUGCCCUACGGGUUGUAAACUUCUUUUAUAAAGGAAUAAAGUGAGGCACGUGUGCCUUUUUGUAUGUACUUUAUGAAUAAGGAUCGGCUAACUCCGUGCCAGCAGCCGCGGUAAUACGGAGGAUCCGAGCGUUAUCCGGAUUUAUUGGGUUUAAAGGGAGCGUAGAUGGGUUGUUAAGUCAGUUGUGAAAGUUUGCGGCUCAACCGUAAAAUUGCAAUUGAUACUGG
RNAcentral lists this ribosomal RNA (305 nucleotides) under uncultured bacterium. RNAcentral's name for it is "bacterial SSU rRNA". It matches the Rfam family "Bacterial small subunit ribosomal RNA", at positions 334 to 636 of the family's 1533-position model. The record is from RNAcentral.